This 425-nucleotide ribosomal RNA is filed under the name uncultured bacterium. RNAcentral's name for it is "partial 16S ribosomal RNA". It matches the Rfam family "Bacterial small subunit ribosomal RNA", at positions 354 to 796 of the family's 1533-position model. The record is from RNAcentral.
GUGGGGAAUAUUGGACAAUGGGCGAAAGCCUGAUCCAGCCAUGCCGCGUGAGUGAUGAAGGCCCUAGGGUUGUAAAGCUCUUUCAGUGGGGAAGAUAAUGACGGUACCCACAGAAGAAGCCCCGGCUAACUUCGUGCCAGCAGCCGCGGUAAUACGAAGGGGGCUAGCGUUGUUCGGAUUUACUGGGCGUAAAGCGCACGUAGGCGGAUUGUUAAGUCGAGGGUGAAAUCCCAGGGCUCAACCCUGGAACUGCCUUCGAUACUGGCAAUCUUGAGUCCGGAAGAGGUGAGUGGAACUCCUAGUGUAGAGGUGGAAUUCGUAGAUAUUAGGAAGAACACCAGUGGCGAAGGCGGCUCACUGGUCCGGUACUGACGCUGCGGUGCGAAAGCGUGGGGAGCAAACAGGAUUAGAUACCCCUGUAGUCC